UAGGGAAUCUUCCGCAAUGGACGAAAGUCUGACGGAGCAACGCCGCGUGAGUGAAGAAGGAUUUCGGUUCGUAAAACUCUGUUGUUAGGGAAGAAAAAAUGUAUAGUAACUAUAUACAAAAGAGACGGUACCUAACCAGAAAGCCACGGCUAACUACGUGCCAGCAGCCGCGGUAAUACGUAGGUGGCAAGCGUUGUCCGGAAUUAUUGGGAGUAAAGCGCGCGCAGGUGGUUUAGAAAGUCUGAUGUAAAAGCCCACGGCUAAACCGUGGAGGGUCAUUGGAACCUAAUAAACUUGAGUGCAGGAGAGAAAAGUGGAAUUCCUAGUGUAGCGGUGAAAUGCGUAGAGAUUAGGAGGAACACCGGUGGCGAAAUCGGCUUUUUGGCCUGCAACUGACACUGAGGCGCGAAAGCGUGGGGAGCAAACAGG
This 429-nucleotide ribosomal RNA is filed under the name Verrucomicrobiota bacterium. RNAcentral's name for it is "Verrucomicrobia bacterium partial 16S ribosomal RNA". It matches the Rfam family "Bacterial small subunit ribosomal RNA", at positions 355 to 776 of the family's 1533-position model. Lineage: Bacteria; Pseudomonadati; Verrucomicrobiota. The record is from RNAcentral.